AGCGAACGCUGGCGGCAGGCCUAACACAUGCAAGUCGAACGAACUCUUCGGAGUUAGUGGCGGACGGGUGAGUAACACGUGGGAACGUGCCUUUUGGUUCGGAAUAACUCAGGGAAACUUGUGCUAAUACCGAAUGUGCCCUUCGGGGGAAAGAUUUAUCGCCAUUUGAGCGGCCCGCGUCUGAUUAGCUAGUUGGUGAGGUAACGGCUCACCAAGGCGACGAUCAGUAGCUGGUCUGAGAGGAUGACCAGCCACACUGGGACUGAGACGCGGCCCAGACUCCUACGGGAGGCAGCAGUGGGGAAUCUUGCGCAAUGGGCGAAAGCCUGACGCAGCCAUGCCGCGUGAAUGAUGAAGGUCUUAGGAUUGUAAAAUUCUUUCACCGGGGACGAUAAUGACGGUACCCGGAGAAGAAGCCCCGGCUAACUUCGUG
RNAcentral lists this ribosomal RNA (433 nucleotides) under uncultured bacterium. RNAcentral's name for it is "partial 16S ribosomal RNA". It matches the Rfam family "Bacterial small subunit ribosomal RNA", at positions 29 to 507 of the family's 1533-position model. The record is from RNAcentral.